Long non-coding RNA from Sinocyclocheilus grahami, 418 nucleotides. RefSeq lists it as uncharacterized. The record is from RefSeq and is a predicted model, not a curated record. The transcript has 2 exons. Lineage: Eukaryota; Metazoa; Chordata; Actinopteri; Cypriniformes; Cyprinidae.
UUUUCCUCUCACGUUCGCUCUAAUUUUUCUUCUUCUGUUCUGUUGUUCCCCGGAUACCUGACCGACAGGAUUAAAAAUGACUUAAAUUUCAAUCAGCUGUGGCAGGAGAGAAAGAAAGAGGGAUGAAAAAAAGAGGAGUUUGUCCUCUGAAGAGAUUCAGCGGCACACAGCUGGUGAGAACGAGGGAGUGUUAGACGGAGAGAGAGAGAGAUCAAGAGAGGGAGGGAAGAGGACUGGAGUCCGAAAGAGAGAGAAAGAGGGUCUUGUUUCGCUUUUGAGGAAGCCAGGAGUCGGAUCGCCGUUUCCUGCAGGACUACUCGACUGGAAAUGCUGGAAAAGCAGUCAUCCUUCCUUUCCAUCAUCCCGUUUUUCUCUGUGCUUGAGACGUUGUUUUGCUGUGAGACACAAAGGCCUCAGA